AUAUAUAUAACCAAUAGGAAGAAGCCAAGUGUGUAGGAUGUACAAGAUACAUACAAUCUAUUGAGGAGUUAGAGGAACUCCCACCAACAUUUAUUUAUGUGCAUCUAUUUAAAGACCACCUCCACCCUCUUUCUUUUCUCCACUCCCCACAACAAAGCUCUUCCAACCAACCAAUCUCUUAAUUCGUUCAUUAAGUUACUCAAAACACCACCUAGCUUCUUCCUCUCUCCCUCAAGCAAUCUCUCUCUCUCUCUCUCUCUCUCUCUCUCUCUCUCUCUCUCUCUCUCAAACCCUGUUUAUUAUAAGCAACUUGAAGAAAGAGAGGAAAAAAAGGGGGCAUUUAAUCAUGCCAUCAAAAUAUGCUUCUCUCUUUGUGGUAGCUCUCCUCAUGAUCUUCUUCUCUCUCAACCAGCAACAAGCAAUAGGGAGGCCAGAGCCAGCUGAUCCAAGCAACACCAAUGGCCAAAAAGAGGUCAAUACAUACUCUAUUCAUUUCUCCAUUCCCCUUUACAUCUCAAAUUUGCAGAUAUAACUACUGCCACACAAAAAAUCGAUCGAUCAGCUAAAAAACGGUCUAAGAAUAAUCUUAACACUUUUGCUGCCACGUGCAUGGUGGGCAUGUAUCAAGCGAACCAUACCACAUGCACUGACACCAUAUCGACUGUAAUAUGUUAAAAGUUGAUGUAGUAUGAAAUGGUUCAGAAAUAGUCUUAAGAACUACUUUUUUUUUUUCUUUUUCUUUUUGUUUUUCUUAUGUUUUUUGAUGGGUUGGUCUUUGUUUUAAUCUUUCUAGGUAGCUGAUCAAGAAGAGGUGAGGUAUGAGAAAAUGGAAGAAGUGUGUGGAGGAGAGAAAGAGGAGGAGUGCUUGAUGAGGAGGACACUGGAGGCUCAAAUUGACUACAUCUACACUCAAGGGAAACACAAUUAACUAGCUAGAAGAAGAGCUACAAAGAGAUAUAUAUAUAUAUAUAUAUAUAAAUAUAUAUAUAUAUAUA
This 995-nucleotide long non-coding RNA is filed under the name Ananas comosus (pineapple). RNAcentral's name for it is "long non-coding RNA (ACOM_LNC023792)". The record is from RNAcentral. Lineage: Eukaryota; Viridiplantae; Streptophyta; Magnoliopsida; Poales; Bromeliaceae.